UAGCAUACCCUUGUCUCAAAAAUUAACCCUUGCUUGUCUAAUUAUAAACAACUCUAUACUGUGAAACUGCGAUGGCUCAUUAUAUCAGUUAUAGUCUAUUUGAUGGUCCUUGCUACUUGAAUAACCGUAUUAAUUCUAAAGCUAAUACAUGCAUCAGGGCCUUUGGGCUGUAUUUAUUAAAUUGAACCCAAUGCGGGGCACCCCGGAUCCAGGUGAUUCAUAAUAACUUUCGAAUCGAUUUUUAUCGAUGCAUCAUUCAAUUUUCUGCCCUAUCACCUUUGGAUGGAAGGGUAUUGGCCUACCAUGGUUUUAACGGGUAACGGAAAAUUAGGGUUCGAUUCCGGAGAGGGAGCCUGAAAAACGGCUACCACAUCCAAGGAAGGCAGCAGGCGCGUAAAUUACCCAAUCCUGGCACAGGGAGGUAGUGACAAUAAAUAAUAUUGCCAAGCUUUUUUAGGUUUGGUCAUCGCAAUGAGAACAAUUUAAACCCCUUAUCAAGGAUCAAUUGAAGGGCAAGUCUGG
RNAcentral lists this ribosomal RNA (522 nucleotides) under uncultured eukaryote. RNAcentral describes it as "bacterial SSU rRNA". It matches the Rfam family "Eukaryotic small subunit ribosomal RNA", at positions 25 to 564 of the family's 1831-position model. The record is from RNAcentral.